CAGUCGCCGCGGUAAUGCGAAGGGUGCAAGCGUUAAUCGGAAUUACUGGGCGUAAAGCGUGCGUAGGCGGUGAGUUAAGUCUGCUGUGAAAUCCCCGGGCUCAACCUGGGAAUGGCAGUGGAUACUGGCUCGCUAGAGUGUGUCAGAGGAUGGUGGAAUUCCGCGUGUAGCAGUGAAAUGCGCAGAUAUGCGGAGGAACACCGAUGGCGAAGGCAGCCCCCUGGGCCAACACUGACGCUCAUGCACGAAAGCGUGGGGAGCAAACAGGAUUAGAUACCCCCGUAGUCCCUGUCUCUUAUAC
Molecule: ribosomal RNA, 301 nt
Filed under: uncultured bacterium
Lineage: Bacteria
Description: partial 16S ribosomal RNA
Rfam family: Bacterial small subunit ribosomal RNA
Source: RNAcentral